Cryptomeria japonica (Japanese cedar) is the source of this 879-nucleotide long non-coding RNA. RefSeq lists it as uncharacterized. The record is from RefSeq and is a predicted model, not a curated record. The transcript has 2 exons. NCBI's taxonomy places the organism in Eukaryota, Viridiplantae, Streptophyta, Pinopsida, Cupressales, Cupressaceae.
AAGUUAUAGUCCAAGCUUUAGAAUAAAGAUUAAAGGUAAGACUAAGUUACUUUCUUGCCUACUAAGAAAUCUAACUACUCUAGCUAAUAAUGAAGCCACUGGGAUGGCAAUAAUUCCUGUUCAUUUAAUGUUACACAGUGACGACAAAAACAAAGUCCCAAGAUUCUCCAUAUCUGAAAAAUAUUGUUACUUAUUCUCCCCAUGCAGCAAGGGGGCAAUUGGGUAUGGUGGUGCAAUGCUUGCAGUUUGCUCAUGUUCAUUACUUGCCCUGCAACCAUGUCUAUGUUCUCUGAAUCCCUCUCUAUAAAAUCUAUAACCUGUGGCUGAAGUUUCAAAAAAGUUUAAAUGUCUCCUUAUAUUUUAGGUUUUACUUCAUUGGGUAAUAUCAUCUAUAAAUGCUUCCCAAGCAUUGAUAGAAAGCAGGAAAACUGUGGGUGUUCAAUGAAUUUUAUUUUUUGGCAGGAAAAAAGACAAUGUUGGUAUUAGAAGGAUCUGCUAUGCCUCUGAUUGCAGGUGUGUUGGUGAUGACAGUGAUUUAUGUUGCUCUAUUGGCUGCAGAGAAGUCAUGGAGUAAAAGGGCAAGCAUUCCUCCGGAUUGUUGUUUUCCAUUCAUAAAGGAAUAUGGAUAUGAGUUCAGGGCUUCUUCAAUCAAUUGAAGCCUGUGCAGGAAACCCCAGGAGGAAGUUCUGUGAAAUGUUGACAGAUUGUUUAGUUGCAUGAAUUUUUGCAGAGGGGAGGAAAAAGGAAUGAAAUCAAGGAAUACUCAGGAUUGGUAGGGGAAAGCAUGAUGUAAAUUGAUGAACUCUGGUGAAAAUCAAUGUAAUAGAUCAGAUUGCUUCCAUGUGGAAAUCCAUAAAAAUAUAAACUAUUUUUCUUGUA